Molecule: non-coding RNA, 114 nt
Filed under: Marchantia polymorpha subsp. ruderalis
Lineage: Eukaryota; Viridiplantae; Streptophyta; Marchantiopsida; Marchantiales; Marchantiaceae
Source: RNAcentral
GUGUUCGUUGAGCCGAGAGAAGGUUAGCAACCCCCUUGACAAGGACGGGAAUUGGCUUCGGCCAUUCACACACCACGAGGAUGAUGCACAGUGCAGCUCGGAGGAGCAGAAUGU